This 466-nucleotide ribosomal RNA is filed under the name uncultured bacterium. Its description in RNAcentral is "partial 16S ribosomal RNA". It matches the Rfam family "Bacterial small subunit ribosomal RNA", at positions 28 to 507 of the family's 1533-position model. The record is from RNAcentral.
GACGAACGCUGGCGGUGUGCUUAACACAUGCAAGUCGAACGGUAAGGCCCUUUCGGGGGUCCACGAGUGGCGAACGGGUGCGUAACACGUGAGUAACCUGCCCUCAUCUCUGGGAUAACAGUCGGAAACGGUUGCUAAUACUGGAUAUGAGCUUGCAAGGCAUCUUGUGGGUUGGAAAGUUUUUUUUGGUUGGGGAUGGACUCGCGGCCUAUCAGCUUGUUGGUGAGGUAGUGGCUCACCAAGGCUUCGACGGGUAGCCGGCCUGAGAGGGCGACCGGCCACAUUGGGACUGAGAGAAGGCCCAAACUCCUACGGGAGGCAACUGUGGGGAAUAUUGCACAAGGAACGGAAGUCUGAUGCAGCAACGCCGCGUGCGGGAGGACGGCCUUAGGGUGGUAAACCGCUUUCAAUUGUGACGAAGCUUUUUGUGACGGUAGCAGUAGAAAAAGCACCGGCUAACUACGUG